This 72-nucleotide ribosomal RNA is filed under the name Porphyromonas sp. COT-108 OH2963. RNAcentral's name for it is "partial 23S ribosomal RNA". The record is from RNAcentral. Lineage: Bacteria; Pseudomonadati; Bacteroidota; Bacteroidia; Bacteroidales; Porphyromonadaceae.
AUAAGCAAAAGAAGGGCAGACGGUGGAUGCCUUGGCUCUAAGAGGCGAUGAAGGACGUGAUAAGCUGCGAAA